RNAcentral lists this ribosomal RNA (497 nucleotides) under uncultured bacterium. RNAcentral's name for it is "partial 16S ribosomal RNA". It matches the Rfam family "Bacterial small subunit ribosomal RNA", at positions 28 to 507 of the family's 1533-position model. The record is from RNAcentral.
GAUGAACGCUGGCGGCGUGCCUAAUACAUGCAAGUCGAGCGAACAGACGAUGAGCUUUCGCCUCUGCCGUUAGCGGCGGACGGGUGAGUAACACGUGGAUAACCUACCUAUAAGACUGGGAUAACUUCGGGAAACCGGAGAUAAUACCGGCUCAUAUAUUGAACCGCAUGGUUCAAUAGUGAAAGACGGUUUUGCUGUCACUUAUAGCUGGAUCCGCGCCGCAUUAGCUAGUUGGUAAGGUAACGGCUUACCAAGGCGACGAUGCGUAGCCGACCUGAGAGGGUGAUCGGCCACACUGGAACUGAGACACGGUCCAGACUCCUACGGGAGGCAGCAGUAGGGAAUCUUCCGCAAUGGGCGAAAGCCUGACGGAGCAACGCCGCGUGAGUGAUGAAGGUCUUCGGAUCGUAAAACUCUGUUAUUAGGGAAGAACAAAUGUGUAAGUAACUAUGCACGUCUUGACGGUACCUAAUCAGAAAGCCACGGCUAACUACGUG